GAUGGGAAACAGUGCUAUGCCUUGUGGGUGACACUGCCUGUUGGGACUGGACCAGCCACCCGCCUGGCUCUUCAGAACAACAGCAGCCAUCAUUCCUGAGCCCCUCCUUCGAGGCAGAUGCUUCUCUACAUUAACACAUGGAAUCCUUACAAGCUCUUAAAGGAAUGAUUCUAUUAUAGGUGAGAUGGCAGUUCCAGUUGUCAAGCUGCUUGGAUGGUCUUGGACUCAGAACAAUCCUAUGAGAUAAAUGCUAUUCUCAUCCCCAUUUUGCAGAAGAGGAAACUGAAGCUCAGAGGAGUUAAGAGAUUUGCUCAGGUAAGACCUCUUAGGCAAGGGAGCUGGGAUUUCAACCUAAGAGUUAGAUGUUAUUGCUUGUACUCUAACCACUAGUCUAUCUUUCCUCCCAAGAGGAAAGGAGAAAGAAGAUAUCAGUUCUAGUCCCAUCAUAGAAAGAC
Molecule: long non-coding RNA, 455 nt
Filed under: Equus caballus (horse)
Lineage: Eukaryota; Metazoa; Chordata; Mammalia; Perissodactyla; Equidae
Description: lncRNA (ENSECAG00000041369.2)
Source: RNAcentral